Mustela lutreola (European mink) is the source of this 1270-nucleotide long non-coding RNA. RefSeq lists it as uncharacterized. The record is from RefSeq and is a predicted model, not a curated record. NCBI's taxonomy places the organism in Eukaryota, Metazoa, Chordata, Mammalia, Carnivora, Mustelidae. The transcript is spliced from 3 exons.
CUCCCUUCUGGGUUACCAGGCAUCCUGGGGUACGGGGAGGGGAGGCUGGUGGAGGCAGGAGGAAUGGGGCCUGAGUGGCUGUGUGGGAAGCUCUGCGUGUCCUGUCUCUCCAGGCCCCAGGGACAAUGGAGGGAGCGUCUCCAGCCUUCAGCAAACAUCAGGAAGAGAACGCUCAGCUAUAGGACCUACCAUGAGAGGUGGCUGCAUCAUAAGUCUGGUUUCAGGACUGUCGACCACCCCCCCCCCCCGCCCCCAGACUGUCAGAGACUUCAGGUCAGAAAUGCGCAACACCUUAGUGACACCUGGCAAGCUGAGUGAGCGCGUGGAAAGAUGGAGUGAGAUGUGUCUCCGAGGGUUUCAUGAGAGCCGGAGGCUGCCCUGUCCCACCACAGACUUCUACACACCUCUACCCCCACACCCCGGUUCCUCCUCCCUCCCUUUGACCUCAGUCCCUACUCAGCAGUCCCCUGGUGCUCAUACAUGGCCGGCUGAGAACUCCUCCAAGCUUGCCACCGAGCUCAGGACUCCUGAGGCCCAGGAGACGACGAACCUCUGGGUAACUUUGGAGUCAUCUGUGCAGCUGUCCAGUGAAGCAGGGAACCAAGUGGCCACGAAUGGUGACAAGAAGAGCCCCCAUAAGGAUGAAGAAAGAUGAGGUAUAAGGGCCUUGAACGAACUGACCUUGGUGUUCUCGGAAGGAACAUGUGAGAACAGCCACCCUGCCGGCCUGCCUGUUUGGUCCCGGUCUGCUCAACAGGAAGCACGAUCUGGGCUGUGGAGUUAAACCAAAUUGCACUGAGACCUCCAUAGGCAGGUUACGCUGUUCCCAUCCCCGAACUCGCCUCUAAACCUCCAGGAAGAACAACGAGCUUCUUACUGUAGGCGGAGGCCAUCUGUCAUCAUUCUCCUCUGGUAAGAGGCUCGGGUAUUGGAAGACAAAUGGCCUGAACUCUGUAAUACCCGUUCCCUGGGGUGGCUGGUUGACAGCUGGUUGAGGGGAGAGGGGGAAUGGGCUUGGACACGUUGGCAGGUAUCCCCGUGGGCCCAGAGCUGAGAAAAAGAGAACUCAGGAGGGGGACUCGGUGGGUGGUCCACCAAGGAGCAGUCACCCUACUCGGCCACACAAUCUCCCUAGAGCAAUGGAUGGGCCCGGGCCCUUGCUCGCCUAGAACAAGGAGGACAGAAUCUGAUCAUUGCCUGACUGCAACCAGACUCAGUGGCAGCUGGGGAGCCAGCUGUAGGUCAGGAGUAAAAGUACAAAGUGGGGGGA